RNAcentral lists this ribosomal RNA (654 nucleotides) under Brevundimonas sp. B30. RNAcentral's name for it is "bacterial SSU rRNA". It matches the Rfam family "Bacterial small subunit ribosomal RNA", at positions 91 to 780 of the family's 1533-position model. The record is from RNAcentral. Lineage: Bacteria; Pseudomonadati; Pseudomonadota; Alphaproteobacteria; Caulobacterales; Caulobacteraceae.
GUUAGUGGCGGACGGGUGAGUAACACGUGGGAACGUGCCUUUAGGUUCGGAAUAGCUCCUGGAAACGGGUGGUAAUGCCGAAUGUGCCCUUCGGGGGAAAGAUUUAUCGCCUUUAGAGCGGCCCGCGUCUGAUUAGCUAGUUGGUGGGGUAAUGGCCCACCAAGGCUACGAUCAGUAGCUGGUCUGAGAGGAUGACCAGCCACAUUGGGACUGAGACACGGCCCAAACUCCUACGGGAGGCAGCAGUGGGGAAUCUUGCGCAAUGGGCGAAAGCCUGACGCAGCCAUGCCGCGUGUAUGAUGAAGGUCUUAGGAUUGUAAAAUACUUUCACCGGUGAAGAUAAUGACUGUAGCCGGAGAAGAAGCCCCGGCUAACUUCGUGCCAGCAGCCGCGGUAAUACGAAGGGGGCUAGCGUUGCUCGGAAUUACUGGGCGUAAAGGGAGCGUAGGCGGACAUUUAAGUCAGAGGUGAAAUCCCGGAGCUUAACUUCGGAACUGCCUUUGAUACUGGGUGUCUUGAGUGUGAGAGAGGUAUGUGGAACUCCGAGUGUAGAGGUGAAAUUCGUAGAUAUUCGGAAGAACACCAGUGGCGAAGGCGACAUACUGGCUCAUUACUGACGCUGAGGCUCGAAAGCGUGGGGAGCAAACAGGAUUA